Molecule: long non-coding RNA, 558 nt
Organism: Gorilla gorilla gorilla (western lowland gorilla)
Lineage: Eukaryota; Metazoa; Chordata; Mammalia; Primates; Hominidae
Exons: 3
Source: RefSeq, a predicted model, not a curated record
UCGAUGUUCUGAGAUCACAGCUUGGUUGUUCUCCCAGGGGCAGGACCAAUGCUACCCGGCCUUCCUGAGCUCCAUCGGAGAACAGGAGCGGUACAGAGCCACUGCGAUGCUGAGUCCACAGCGGCAACAGAUACCAACUGGCAUCUCCACGAAAAGUCACAACUGACCGCCUGGCUGUCAAGAUCUUUGAAUUCCGGCAUUCUUCAGAGACUCUUGGUCACACAUCCCUCAGGCUACUCCCUCCUGGAGGCCGAGUGUACCUCAGGUCCCCACCAUGACCUUGAUGCCCCCCAAAUUAUCAGGCUCACAGAGAACACACACCAUCAAUAAAGUGCCCGUCUCGCUUACUGCAGGAUAUGUGAACAGAUUUUCAGGCUCGCAGAGAACACACACCAUCAAUGAAGUGCCCGUCUCGCUUACUGCAGGAUAUGUGAACAGACAGCAUCACAAUCUACUUAACAAUAUCAAGUUUACUGUGGCUGGGGAUUGAUGAACCAAAGUGAAGUAUGAUAUAUCCACAGGAUGGAACACUAUGGACUUAUUAAAAUUGACAUGGCA